UAUAUACUUCCUCCGUCUCGAAUUACUUGUCGUGGAAAUGGAUAAAAAUGAAUUUAUCUAGAACUAAAAUACGUCUAGAUACAUCCAUUUUUAACACAAGUAAUUUCAGACAGAGGGAGUAUAUU
This is a non-coding RNA of Triticum aestivum (bread wheat), 125 nucleotides long. NCBI's taxonomy places the organism in Eukaryota, Viridiplantae, Streptophyta, Magnoliopsida, Poales, Poaceae. The record is from Rfam.